CAAUGACGGCGAGGAUACAACCGCUCAAGGUGGGCGGCUCGGAGAAUAUUACCUUUUGCGGGAAAAACGGAUCACGGGUGCACCGCAUCCUUUGCGUCGGAGAGAGCGCCACCUCGGCACCGGAGAAAAGGUUGAUGAUCCGUAACUGUUAAUCAUCCAAGAAGGCAGCCCAGCCACCACCGUGGCUGCCACCGACGGCCUCGCUUGGGAACGGGAAGCGCGGCAGGACAGCACCGUCCGCGAGGCCGUACACGUGCUUCUCCUUUUCGCCAGGGGCGGAGCUAAGGGGGGACGAGCGGGGGCCACGAUCGAGAGAAUUCUCCUGAAUCGAUAGGCGCCGAUACACACGCACGGCACGCUCGCUGCGUGUAGCCGCCGGAAAGUUCGACCAGGGCAUCCGCACAACGCAUCAGGAAAAGCGCCGAUGGGAAAAUAGUCCUGGAAAUGUCUGACGACGAAAAGGAUUUCAUUAUUUGCAAGUACUGCGAAGACGAGCGCGGCCUGUGCGAUAGAAUCUUCCUAGAUGAUGAUAGGCGCUUCAGCAUCAGGCUGGACGAGAACUUCAAAGUGGAUACCCGUAUCCCCUGCCAUGCAAGAGUUUUUGUCUUGGAUAAGAUAGGUUUCAGUCGUACUAUG
This is a long non-coding RNA of Triticum aestivum (bread wheat), 636 nucleotides long. RefSeq lists it as uncharacterized. The record is from RefSeq and is a predicted model, not a curated record. Lineage: Eukaryota; Viridiplantae; Streptophyta; Magnoliopsida; Poales; Poaceae. The transcript is spliced from 3 exons.